CAGCCGCCGCGGUAAUACGAAGGGGGCUAGCGUUGUUCGGAAUUACUGGGCGUAAAGGGCGCGUAGGCGGUGAGUUAAGUCUGCUGUGAAAUCCCCGGGCUCAACCUGGGAAUGGCAGUGGAUACUGGCUCGCUAGAGUGUGUCAGAGGAUGGUGGAAUUCCCGGUGUAGCGGUGAAAUGCGUAGAGAUCGGGAGGAACAUCAGUGGCGAAGGCGGCCAUCUGGGACAACACUGACGCUGAGGCACGAAAGCGUGGGGAGCAAACAGGAUUAGAUACCCCAGUAGUCCCUGUCUCUUAUAC
RNAcentral lists this ribosomal RNA (301 nucleotides) under uncultured bacterium. RNAcentral's name for it is "partial 16S ribosomal RNA". It matches the Rfam family "Bacterial small subunit ribosomal RNA", at positions 509 to 807 of the family's 1533-position model. The record is from RNAcentral.